GGGGGAUUAGUUCAGUGGUAGAGUGCCCACUUAGCAUCCAAGAGGUCCUGGGUUCAAUCCCCAGUACCUCCA
This 72-nucleotide transfer RNA is filed under the name Camelus bactrianus (Bactrian camel). It matches the Rfam family "tRNA". From Rfam's summary of the family: Transfer RNA (tRNA) molecules are approximately 80 nucleotides in length. Their secondary structure includes four short double-helical elements and three loops (D, anti-codon, and T loops). Further hydrogen bonds mediate the characteristic L-shaped molecular structure. tRNAs have two regions of fundamental functional importance: the anti-codon, which is responsible for specific mRNA codon recognition, and the 3' end, to which the tRNAs corresponding amino acid is attached (by aminoacyl-tRNA synthetases). tRNAs cope with the degeneracy of the genetic code in two manners: having more than one tRNA (with a specific anti-codon) for a particular amino acid; and 'wobble' base-pairing, i.e. permitting non-standard base-pairing at the 3rd anti-codon position. Lineage: Eukaryota; Metazoa; Chordata; Mammalia; Artiodactyla; Camelidae. RNAcentral also lists the same sequence under 2 other names. The record is from Rfam by way of RNAcentral.